Molecule: ribosomal RNA, 734 nt
Filed under: uncultured Fusobacterium sp.
Lineage: Bacteria; Fusobacteriati; Fusobacteriota; Fusobacteriia; Fusobacteriales; Fusobacteriaceae
Description: bacterial SSU rRNA
Rfam family: Bacterial small subunit ribosomal RNA
Source: RNAcentral
GAUGACCGCUGACAGAAUGCUUAACACAUGCAAAUCAACAUGAAUUUGGGUUUUUAUCUUAAGUUUGGGUGGCGGACGGGUGAGUAACGCGUAAAGAACUUGCCUCACAGCUAGGGACAACAUUUGGAAACGAAUGCUAAUACCUAAUAUUAUGAUAAUAGGGCAUCCUAUAAUUAUGAAAGCUAUAAGCGCUGUGAGAGAGCUUGCGUCCCAUUAGCUAGUCGGAGAGGUAACGGCUCACCAAGGCGAUGAUGGGUAGCCGGCCUGAGAGGGUGAUCGGCCACAAGGGGACUGAGACACGGCCCUUACUCCUACGGGAGGCAGCAGUGGGGAAUAUUGGACAAUGGACCAAGAGUCUGAUCCAGCAAUUCUGUGUGCACGAUGAAGUUUUUCGGAAUGUAAAGUGCUUUCAGUUGGGAAGAAAGAAAUGACGGUACCAACAGAAGAAGUGACGGCUAAAUACGUGCCAGCAGCCGCGGUAAUACGUAUGUCACGAGCGUUAUCCGGAUUUAUUGGGCGUAAAGCGCGUCUAGGUGGUUAUGUAAGUCUGAUGUGAAAAUGCAGGGCUCAACUCUGUAUUGCGUUGGAAACUGUAUAACUAGAGUACUGGAGAGGUAAGCGGAACUACAAGUGUAGAGGUGAAAUUCGUAGAUAUUUGUAGGAAUGCCGAUGGGGAAGCCAGCUUACUGGACAGAUACUGACGCUGAAGCGCGAAAGCGUGGGUAGCAAACAGG